CAGUUCGGAUUGGAGUCUGCAACCCGACUCCAUGAAGCUGGAUUCGCUAGUAAUCGCGCAUCAGCCACGGCGCGGUGAAUACGUUCCCGGGCCUUGUACACACCGCCCGUCAAGCCAUGGAAGCCGGGAGUGCCUGAAGUGCGUGAGCGCAAGCAGCGCCCUAAGGUAAAACCGGUGACUGGGGCUAAGUCGUAACAAGGUAAC
Molecule: ribosomal RNA, 204 nt
Filed under: uncultured bacterium
Lineage: Bacteria
Description: partial 16S ribosomal RNA
Rfam family: Bacterial small subunit ribosomal RNA
Source: RNAcentral